Molecule: ribosomal RNA, 332 nt
Filed under: uncultured eukaryote
Lineage: Eukaryota
Description: partial 18S ribosomal RNA
Rfam family: Eukaryotic small subunit ribosomal RNA
Source: RNAcentral
CCCUUAGAUGUUCUGGGCUGCACACGUGCUACACUGGCAGGUUCAGCGAGCUUCAUGCCCUGAUCUGAAAGGAAUGGGAAAUCUUUUCAAAACCUGCCGUGCUUGGGAUAGAUGUUUGCAAUUAUUCAUCUUCAACGAGGAUUGCCUUGUAAGCGCACGUCAUCAGCGUGCAUUGAAUACGACCCUGUAUUCUGUACACACCGCCCGUCGCUCCUACCGAUUGAAGUUUUCGGUGAGUUGACAGGAGGAUUUUUUUGAAACUGGUUCGCCAGUGGAUUUUAGGUCCAAAUGCCAACGAAUCGAUGGCUUUAGAGGAAGGAGAAGUCGUAACA